UGAGUUUGCUCCUGGCUCAGGAUGAACGCUAGCGGGAGGCUUAACACAUGCAAGUCGAGGGGUAGCACGGGUAGCAAUACUUGGUGACGACCGGCGGACGGGUGAGUAACACGUAUGUAACCUGCCUUUUGCAAGGGGAUAGCCCGAAGAAAUUUGGAUUAAUACCCUAUGGUUUAUAUUUUUCGCAUGGGAGAUAUAAUAAAGAUUUAUUGGUAGAAGAUGGGCAUGCGUAUCAUUAGCUAGAUGGUAAGGUAACGGCUUACCAUGGCGACGAUGAUUAUGGGGUCUUAAAGGAUGGUCCCACACACUGGCACUGAGACACGGGCCAGACUCCUACGGGAGGCAGCAGUGAGGAAUAUUGGUCAAUGGGCGGAAGCCUGAACCAGCCAUCCCGCGUGCAGGAAGAAUGUCUUAUAGAUUGUAAACUGCUUUUCCAUUAGAAUAAUAAAGGGGACGUGUCCCCUGACGCAGGUAUAAUGGGAAUAAGCAUCGGCUAAUUCCGUGCCAGCAGCCGCGGUAAUACGGAAGAUGCGAGCGUUAUCCGGAUUUAUUAGGUUUAAAGGGUGCGUAGGUGGCGAAUUAAGUCAGUGGUGAAAUAUUGUAGCUUAACUAUAAUAAGCCAUAGAAACUGGUUUGCUUGAGUGCAGAUGAGGUAGGCGGAAUGUGUUGUGUAGCGGUGAAAUGCAUAGAUAUAACACAGAACACCGAUUGCGAAGGCAGCUUACUAAGGUGCAACUGACACUGAGGCACGAAAGCGUGGGGAUCGAACAGGAUUGGAUACCCUGGUAGUCCACGCCGUAAACGAUGAGUGCUAGAUGUGGGAAGCUAUAAGUUUUCCGUAUCGCAGCUAACGCAAUAAGCACUCCGCCUGGGGAGUACGACCGCAAGGUUGAAACUCAAAGGAAUUGACGGGGGCCCGCACAAGCGGUGGAGCAUGUGGUUUAAUUCGAAGCAACGCGAAGAACCUUACCAGGUCUUGACAUACCAAUGCUAUUCCUAGAGAUAGGAAGUUCCUUCGGGACAUUGGAUACAGGUGGUGCAUGGUUGUCGUCAGCUGUGUCGUGAGAUGUUGGGUUAAGUCCCGCAACGAGCGCAACCCCUAUGUUUAGUUGCCAUCAUUAAGUUGGGCACUCUAGACAGACUGCCGGUGAUAAACCGGAGGAAGGUGGGGAUGACGUCAAAUCAUCAUGCCCCUUAUGACCUGGGCUACACACGUGCUACAAUGGAUGGUACAACGAGUCGCGAGACAGUGAUGUUUAGCUAAUCUCUUAAAACCAUUCUCAGUUCGGAUUGUAGGCUGCAACUCGCCUACAUGAAGUCGGAAUCGCUAGUAAUCGCGGAUCAGCACGCCGCGGUGAAUACGUUCCCGGGCCUUGUACACACCGCCCGUCACACCACGGGAGUUGGAAGCACCCGAAGUCUGUGACCUAACCGAAAGGAAGGAGCAGCCGAAGGUGAAGCCAG
Molecule: ribosomal RNA, 1464 nt
Filed under: uncultured Bacteroidota bacterium
Lineage: Bacteria; Pseudomonadati; Bacteroidota
Description: uncultured Bacteroidetes bacterium partial 16S ribosomal RNA
Rfam family: Bacterial small subunit ribosomal RNA
Source: RNAcentral